RNAcentral lists this ribosomal RNA (239 nucleotides) under uncultured Prevotella sp. RNAcentral describes it as "partial 16S ribosomal RNA". It matches the Rfam family "Bacterial small subunit ribosomal RNA", at positions 100 to 339 of the family's 1533-position model. Lineage: Bacteria; Pseudomonadati; Bacteroidota; Bacteroidia; Bacteroidales; Prevotellaceae. The record is from RNAcentral.
GCACGGGUGAGUAACGCGUAUCCAACCUGCCUCUGACUAGGGGAUAACCCGGCGAAAGUCGGACUAAUACCUUAUGGCAUCGUCUGCGGGCAUCCAACGACGAUUAAAGAUUCAUCGGUCAGGGAUGGGGAUGCGUCUGAUUAGCUUGUUGGCGGGGUAACGGCCCACCAAGGCGACGAUCAGUAGGGGUUCUGAGAGGAAGGUCCCCCACAUUGGAACUGAGACACGGUCCAAACUCC